GACAAGUGCUGCUGUUAUCUCCAAAGCACAGCCUAAAACAAUAGAGACUGGAGGAGUUACAUCAUUUUCACAAGGUCAGAGGUAAGUAAGUUGCAGGAAAAGGCUUAAAUUCUGUGGCUUCAAAGCCUAGGCUCUCAUGCUCUUUGCUGAGCACAACUAGGAGUGCACCCUGGUACAAGUCCCUGGCAUCCACUAAUACACAGUGUGAGGGCAGCACAGCAGGGCUGCUUAAUGCCAUCGGCUGUAACCUUCCAGGUACCGUGGGCCAGGAGCAGCAGAUGUAGAGUCCCGGAAGAGUCCACUAAGGAGGACUCCCUUUUGGAUGGAGAGCAUGGACCUGGACAGGAGCUCAAAGUGGGAGAAGAUAGCAAUGAAGGAAUCAGAAGAUACUUCUUUCCUUGUCUCAGCUGUCCCCAGGACCAUGCCCCUGAGAUGGGGGGAAGCAGGGGCACAGGCUCGCCUCACCUCGCUACUGCUCAGAGCACCCCAGCACCGCAGAGGGCUUGCAGCCCUGCUGUUUGAUCUUAUCAGCCUGUCAGCAAGGUGAAGCGAAUGCGUCAAGCACUUUGUGCCUGUUCAUCAUUGUGGUUGCCCCCAAGUGGAGCCAGCAAGGUAACACUUGAAGCCAUUUCUGCAGAGAACGGCACAAAAAGCGGCAGCUGGCGGCAGCUCAGCGGUUCCACUGCAGUUUGAGAAAACACCCACAGAACGGUAAAGCAGCUCCAGAGACACCACAAAACACGCAGUGACACUUACGCAUGCACGGAUAGACACUCCACAGCAGUCUAAACCAGAGCCCCCGGGGCUACAGGACGUGCGCCUGUGCCAGCCAGGAAGCCGAGUGAAGAAGAAGCAGUGUUUGUCUAGGAUAGCAAGGGAGCCAGAGGCAACGCCUUGGUGUAUGGAUGCCAUAUUCUUGGAGGAGGGGAGUUUUGAGGAGAAAAAAGAAGAAAAAAAGAAUCCUUUCUAGUUCUCACCACUGAAACUGAGGGUUUCUACUUUGGAAAACUGAAAACAAUUUCAUUCUGAAGGCAAAGGCAUGAGGAGCAAGAAAGUCCAAAUUAAAGCCCUUUCAAAGCCAAAGACAUUUUCGAUCUGCUGAGCAGCAGAGUCCAC
This 1116-nucleotide long non-coding RNA is filed under the name Chinchilla lanigera (long-tailed chinchilla). RNAcentral's name for it is "lncRNA (ENSCLAG00000023709.1)". Lineage: Eukaryota; Metazoa; Chordata; Mammalia; Rodentia; Chinchillidae. The record is from RNAcentral.